Molecule: ribosomal RNA, 778 nt
Filed under: uncultured Neocallimastigales
Lineage: Eukaryota; Fungi; Neocallimastigomycota; Neocallimastigomycetes; Neocallimastigales
Description: partial large subunit ribosomal RNA
Rfam family: Eukaryotic large subunit ribosomal RNA
Source: RNAcentral
AGAGAUGUGUGAUGACGCAUAUCAAUAAGCGGAGGAAAAGAAACUAACUAAGGAUUCCCUCAGUAACGGCGAGUGAAGCGGGAAGAGCUCAAAUUUGAAAUCUUCAAGGUUUUACCUUGACGAAUUGUAGUUUAAAGAAGUGUUUUCUGUUGGUAGUUUUGGUAAAAGUUCUUUGGAAUAGGACAUCAUAGAGGGUGAGAAUCCCGUAUUUGACCAUUACUUUCCAGCUUUGUGAUACACUUUCAAAGAGUCGGAUUGUUUGGGAAUGCAGUCCAAAAUGGGUGGUAAAUUUCAUCUAAAGCUAAAUAUUGGCGAGAGACCGAUAGCGAACAAGUACCGUGAGGGAAAGAUGAAAAGAACUUUGAAAAGAGAGUUAAACAGUACGUGAAAUUGUCAAAAGGGAAGCGUUUGACACCAGUGUUGUUUUCUCGAAAAUCAAUUCAUGAUGGCUUGAUGCUAGGUUGUUAAGACUUUAUCAGCUUACUGUCUAGUUUUCUUGUCUUUGUGAAUGCACUUUUCGUUUAACAAGUCAACAUCAAUUUCUUUUGCUGUAAAAGGGUAAGAGGAAGGUGGCUUCAGGCUUCGGUUGAAGUGUUUAUAGCCUUUUACCUCUGCAGUCGGAGAGAUUGAGGUCUGCAGCGUAGACUCUUCGGGGUUAGAUACAUUUGUGCUAAGUUAUAGCUUUUCAUAGACAACUUGUUGACUAUGUUUAGUCUUGUAGCUUACUCGCUUAUGCUAUUUUACCUACGCUUAGGAUGUUGAAGAUGUAGCACAUCAU